AUUGAACGCUGGCGGCAUGCCUUACACAUGCAAGUCGAACGGCAGCGCGUCCUUCGGGAUGGCGGCGAGUGGCGAACGGGUGAGUAGAGCAUCGGAACGUGCCCGGUAGUGCGGGAUAGCUCGGCGAAAGCCGGAUUAAUACCGCAUGAGAUCCGAGGAUGAAAGCAGGGGAUCGCAAGACCUUGCGCUACUGGAGCGGCCGAUGUCAGAUUAGGUAGUUGGUGGGGUAAAGGCUCACCAAGCCUGCGAUCUGUAGCUGGUCUGAGAGGAUGAUCAGCCACAUCGGGACUGAGACACGGCCCGAACUCCUACGGGAGGCAGCAGUGGGGAAUUUUGGACAAUGGGCGCAAGCCUGAUCCAGCCAUGCCGCGUGCAGGAUGAAGGCCCUCGGGUUGUAAACUGCUUUUGUACGGAACGAAAGGCCUCCUUCGGAUAAAGGGGGGAGAUGACGGUACCGUAAGAAUAAGCACCGGCUAACUACGUGCCAGCAGCCGCGGUAAUACGUAGGGUGCGAGCGUUAAUCGGAAUUACUGGGCGUAAAGCGUGCGCAGGCGGUUUUGCAAGACAGUGGUGAAAUCCCCGGGCUCAACCUGGGAACUGCCAUUGUGACUGCAAGGCUGGAGUACGGCAGAGGGGGAUGGAAUUCCGCGUGUAGCAGUGAAAUGCGUAGAUAUGCGGAGGAACACCGAUGGCGAAGGCAGUCCCCUGGGCCUGUACUGACGCUCAUGCACGAAAGCGUGGGGAGCAAACAGGAUUAGAUACCCUGGUAGUCCACGCCCUAAACGAUGUCAACUGGUUGUUGGGGAUUUAUUUCUUCAGUAACGAAGCUAACGCGUGAAGUUGACCGCCUGGGGAGUACGGCCGCAAGGUUAAAACUCAAAGGAAUUGACGGGGACCCGCACAAGCGGUGGAUGAUGUGGUUUAAUUCGAUGCAACGCGAAAAACCUUACCCACCUUUGACAUGUAUGGAAUCCUGAAGAGAUUUGGGAGUGCUCGCAAGAGAGCCAUAACACAGGUGCUGCAUGGCUGUCGUCAGCUCGUGUCGUGAGAUGUUGGGUUAAGUCCCGCAACGAGCGCAACCCUUGCCAUCAGUUGCUACGAAAGGGCACUCUGAUGGGACUGCCGGUGACAAACCGGAGGAAGGUGGGGAUGACGUCAAGUCCUCAUGGCCCUUAUAGGUGGGGCUACACACGUCAUACAAUGGCCGGUACAAAGGGCAGCGAAGCCGCGAGGUGAAGCCAAUCCCAUAAAGCCGGUCGUAGUCCGGAUUGCAGGCUGCAACUCGCCUGCAUGAAGUCGGAAUCGCUAGUAAUCGUGGAUCAGCAUGUCACGGUGAAUACGUUCCCGGGUCUUGUACACACCGCCC
Molecule: ribosomal RNA, 1366 nt
Filed under: uncultured bacterium
Lineage: Bacteria
Description: bacterial SSU rRNA
Rfam family: Bacterial small subunit ribosomal RNA
Source: RNAcentral